UGCAAGUCGAACGGCAGCACGGGAGCAAUCCUGGUGGCGAGUGGCGAACGGGUGAGUAAUAUAUCGGAACGUGCCCAGUCGUGGGGGAUAACGCAGCGAAAGCUGUGCUAAUACCGCAUACGAUCUACGGAUGAAAGCGGGGGAUCGCAAGACCUCGCGCGAUUGGAGCGGCCGAUAUCAGAUUAGCUAGUUGGUGGGGUAAAAGCCCACCAAGGCGACGAUCUGUAGCUGGUCUGAGAGGACGACCAGCCACACUGGAACUGAGACACGGUCCAGACUCCUACGGGAGGCAGCAGUGGGGAAUUUUGGACAAUGGGCGCAAGCCUGAUCCAGCAAUGCCGCGUGCAGGAUGAAGGCCUUCGGGUUGUAAACUGCUUUUGUACGGAGCGAAACGGCUUCCCCUGAUACGGGGAGCUAAUGACGGUACCGUAAGAAUAAGCACCGGCUAACUACGUGCCAGCAGCCGCGGUAAUACGUAGGGUGCGAGCGUUAAUCGGAAUUACUGGGCGUAAAGCGUGCGCAGGCGGUUAUAUAAGACAGAUGUGAAAUCCCCGGGCUCAACCUGGGACCUGCAUUUGUGACUGUAUAGCUAGAGUACGGUAGAGGGGGAUGGAAUUCCGCGUGUAGCAGUGAAAUGCGUAGAUAUGCGGAGGAACACCGAUGGCGAAGCAAUCCUCUGGACCUGUACUGACGCUCAUGCACGAAAGCGUGGGGAGCAAACAGGAUUAGAUACCCUGGUAGUCCACGCCCUAAACGAUGUCAACUGGUUGUUGGGUCUUCACUGACUCAGUAACGAAGCUAACGCGUGAAGUUGACCGCCUGGGGAGUACG
RNAcentral lists this ribosomal RNA (831 nucleotides) under uncultured bacterium. RNAcentral's name for it is "bacterial SSU rRNA". It matches the Rfam family "Bacterial small subunit ribosomal RNA", at positions 56 to 884 of the family's 1533-position model. The record is from RNAcentral.